GAAUAUUGGACAAUGGGCGAAAGCCUGAUCCAGCCAUGCCGCGUGUGUGAAGAAGGUUUUCGGAUUGUAAAGCACUUUAAGUUGGGAGGAGGGGCAGUAAGCGAAUACCUUGCUGUUUUGACGUUACCGCCAGAAUAAGCACAGGCUAACUCUGUGCAGGCAGCCGCGGUAAUACCGAGGGUGCAAGCGUUAAUCGGAAUUACUUGGCGUAGAGCGCGCGUAGGUGGUUCGUUAAGUUGUAUGUGAAAUCCCCGGGCUCAACCUGGGAACUGCAUCCAAAACUGGCGAGCUAGAGUAGGGCAGAGGGUGGUGGAAUUUCCUGUGUAGCGGUGAAAUGCGUAGAUAUAGGAAGGAACACCAGUGGCGAAGGCGACCACCUGGGCUCAUACUGACACUGAGGUGCGAAAGCGUGGGGAGCAAACAG
Molecule: ribosomal RNA, 424 nt
Filed under: uncultured bacterium
Lineage: Bacteria
Description: partial 16S ribosomal RNA
Rfam family: Bacterial small subunit ribosomal RNA
Source: RNAcentral